Molecule: ribosomal RNA, 317 nt
Filed under: uncultured bacterium
Lineage: Bacteria
Description: bacterial SSU rRNA
Rfam family: Bacterial small subunit ribosomal RNA
Source: RNAcentral
AAUCAACGCUGGCGGCGUGCCUCAGACAUGCAAGUCGAACGAGAAAGUUUCCUUCGGGAGACGAGUACAGUGGCGCACGGGUGAGUAACACGUAAGUAAUCUGCCUUUGAGUGGGGAAUAACAGUCGGAACGAUUGCUAAUACCGCAUAACGCAGCGGCACCGCAAGGUGACAGUUGUUAAAGGAGCAAUCCGCUUAAAGAGGAGCUUGCGGCAGAUUAGCNGUUGGUAAGGUAACGGCUUACCAAGGCUACGAUCUGUAUCCGGUCUAAGAGGACGGUCGGACACACUGACACUGAAUAACGGGUCAGACUCCUAC